CCUACGGGCGGCUGCAGUGGAGAAUAUUGGACAAUGGGCGCAAGCCUGAUCCAGCCAUACCGCGUGGGUGAAGAAGGCCUUCGGGUUGUAAAGCCCUUUUGUUGGGAAAGAAAUCCAGCUGGCUAAUACCCGGUUGGGAUGCCGGUACCCAAAGAAUACGCACCGGCUACCUUCGUGCCAGCCGCCGCGGUCAUACCCAGGGUGCCCGCGCUCCCCGGAAUUACUGGGCGUACAGCGUGCGUAGGUGGUCGGGUAAGUCCGGGGUGAAAGCCCGGGGCGCAGCCUGGGGACUGCAGUGGGGACUGGGCGACUAGAGUGUGGUAGAGGGUAGCGGAAUUCCUGGUGUAGCAGUGAAAUGCGUAGAGAUCAGGAGGAACAUCCAGGGCGAAGGCAGCUACCUGGACCAACACUGACACUGAGGCACGAAAGCGUGGGGAGCAAACAGGAUUAGAUACCCUGGUAGUC
This 465-nucleotide ribosomal RNA is filed under the name uncultured Stenotrophomonas sp. RNAcentral describes it as "bacterial SSU rRNA". It matches the Rfam family "Bacterial small subunit ribosomal RNA", at positions 338 to 795 of the family's 1533-position model. The record is from RNAcentral. Lineage: Bacteria; Pseudomonadati; Pseudomonadota; Gammaproteobacteria; Lysobacterales; Lysobacteraceae.